RNAcentral lists this ribosomal RNA (253 nucleotides) under uncultured bacterium. RNAcentral's name for it is "partial 16S ribosomal RNA". It matches the Rfam family "Bacterial small subunit ribosomal RNA", at positions 524 to 776 of the family's 1533-position model. The record is from RNAcentral.
UACGAAGGGGGCUAGCGUUGCUCGGAAUCACUGGGCGUAAAGGGUGCGUAGGCGGGUCUUUAAGUCAGGGGUGAAAUCCUGGAGCUCAACUCCAGAACUGCCUUUGAUACUGAAGAUCUUGAGUUCGGGAGAGGUGAGUGGAACUGCGAGUGUAGAGGUGAAAUUCGUAGAUAUUCGCAAGAACACCAGUGGCGAAGGCGGCUCACUGGCCCGAUACUGACGCUGAGGCACGAAAGCCAGGGGAGCAAACGGG